UACGGGGGGGGUAAGCGUUGUUCGGAAUUACUGGGCGUAAAGGGCUCGUAGGCGGCCAACUAAGUCAUACGUGAAAUCCCUCAGCUUAACUGGGGAACUGCGUGUGAUACUGGAUGGCUUGGAUUUGGGAGAGGGAUGCGGAAUUCCUGGUGUAGCGGUGAAAUGCGCAGAUAUCAGGAGGAACACCGGUGGCGAAGGCAGCUCGCUGGGACGUUACUGACGCUGAGACGCGAAAGCGUGGGGAGCAAACAGG
This 253-nucleotide ribosomal RNA is filed under the name uncultured bacterium. RNAcentral's name for it is "partial 16S ribosomal RNA". It matches the Rfam family "Bacterial small subunit ribosomal RNA", at positions 524 to 776 of the family's 1533-position model. The record is from RNAcentral.